UGGGCCUCCAUGUCUCACCAUGUUUUACCCAAAGAAAUAGCAUUUAGUGCAUUGAUUUCUCCCAGUAUGAAGUCACAUUGUUUAAUCCAAGGUAAGGUGCCGCUCUGCAUCCUCAAUGCCAUUGCUUGGAGAGAAGGGCUUAACGUCAAUGUGCAGGCAGAGGAGCACUCGGCCUCCCGAGCAUUGACUGCUAAAUGUUGUGUUUAAUUGGAGUGAACCAGCCAUCUCACUUCUUUUCAGUGCUUUCCUAGAAUUUGUUAGUAGGCUUUGGUUUUAUAAGACAACCUUUUUCUCAAUUCUCAUCCACAGGUUUUUUUUCAGACAGAUGAGGACACAAACAAACAAGUUUAAUCAGCUACAAGUCAUUAGUGGAUUCUGCAUAAACAGUCUGAGAGUGCUGGCCAGCAGUCUCCUGAUCAGAGAAGACAAACGGUGCUGCUGAUGGACUUGGCAGUAGAGGGCUGAGAGGAGAUUGCAUGUGAAUGGAGCCAGGAGAGAGCGGAGAAGAGCAGUCUUAUCAAGUACAGAGAAAUUGCAAUGAUCAACCCAGCAGAUGUUCUAUCCAACACGACAGUGCAUGGUGGAGCGACCAGCACAGCUGAGCUUACGCUUACAGAGGCUAGAGGAGAAAAGCUAUCUCCUUUAGGCCGAGUGGCUCUGCUCUUUAUUAAAAAGAAACACAUGUAGUGUCAGGGCGUCCAAGUAUGAAAUUCAAUUCUCAUCCCAAAACGGUGUUAUUAUUAAAGCUGUGCUAUCACACAAAGCAGGCCAGGCUUGCUCAGCUGUACGGGCACACAGUGUGCGAUGGGGUGCAGGGCGUAUGGAGGCUGAGGGGGAAUCUGACAGGCAUGAGCGAGGCUGCAGAGGCUUAAAACACCCAAAAGGCGACUCAGGCUCUUAUGCAAUUUAGUAUGGACUUGGUUGAGUUGUGUUGGGUUAGUGCCUCUGCAUAGAACAGUAGGCUGAGUCAACUGCAGAGUGGGAUCUGUUCUACUCUAGUUUGUGGGAUGUUUUGUUAAGCAAAGUAAAACCAAAGAAAAUGCACUAUUGUUUAUAACAUUACAUCAUUACCCCAGUAUUGGAAGACAAAGACAUUUUGAUGUCAAAUUUGAUGUGUUCAUGUUUCAGGUCAGUGAUCCAAACCGUAAAACACACAACUGC
This 1161-nucleotide long non-coding RNA is filed under the name Salmo salar (Atlantic salmon). Its description in RNAcentral is "lncRNA (ENSSSAG00000101475.1)". Lineage: Eukaryota; Metazoa; Chordata; Actinopteri; Salmoniformes; Salmonidae. The record is from RNAcentral.